CCCUACGGGGGGCAGCAGUCGGGAAUAUUGCGCAAUGGAGGAAACUCUGACGCAGUGACGCCGCGUGCAGGAAGAAGGUUUUCGGAUUGUAAACUGCUUUAGAUAGGGAAGAAAAAAAUGACAGUACCUAUAGAAUAAGCUCCGGCUAACUACGUGCCAGCAGCCGCGGUAAUACGUAGGGAGCGAGCGUUAUCCGGAUUUAUUGGGUGUAAAGGGUGCGUAGGCGGCCUGCUAAGUCUGGAGUGAAAGGUACCGGCUCAACCGGUACAGGCUCUGGAAACUGGCGGGCUAGAGAGCAGGAGAGG
RNAcentral lists this ribosomal RNA (305 nucleotides) under uncultured bacterium. RNAcentral describes it as "bacterial SSU rRNA". It matches the Rfam family "Bacterial small subunit ribosomal RNA", at positions 337 to 657 of the family's 1533-position model. The record is from RNAcentral.